UCCUCUGUAGCUCAAUGGUGGAGCACUCGGCUGUUAACCGAUAGGUUGGAGGUUCGAGCCCUCUCGGAGGAG
This is a transfer RNA of 72 nucleotides. It matches the Rfam family "tRNA". From Rfam's summary of the family: Transfer RNA (tRNA) molecules are approximately 80 nucleotides in length. Their secondary structure includes four short double-helical elements and three loops (D, anti-codon, and T loops). Further hydrogen bonds mediate the characteristic L-shaped molecular structure. tRNAs have two regions of fundamental functional importance: the anti-codon, which is responsible for specific mRNA codon recognition, and the 3' end, to which the tRNAs corresponding amino acid is attached (by aminoacyl-tRNA synthetases). tRNAs cope with the degeneracy of the genetic code in two manners: having more than one tRNA (with a specific anti-codon) for a particular amino acid; and 'wobble' base-pairing, i.e. permitting non-standard base-pairing at the 3rd anti-codon position. The record is from Rfam.